GGAAGGGUGGCUGAGCUGGCUGAAAGCGCCGCUCUCGAAAAGCGGUGUGGUCGAAAGGCCAUCGAGAGUUCGAAUCUCUCCCCUUCCGCCA
Molecule: transfer RNA, 91 nt
Filed under: Candidatus Omnitrophota bacterium
Lineage: Bacteria; Pseudomonadati; Candidatus Omnitrophota
Description: tRNA-Ser
Rfam family: tRNA
About the family: Transfer RNA (tRNA) molecules are approximately 80 nucleotides in length. Their secondary structure includes four short double-helical elements and three loops (D, anti-codon, and T loops).
Source: RNAcentral